Molecule: ribosomal RNA, 459 nt
Filed under: uncultured bacterium
Lineage: Bacteria
Description: partial 16S ribosomal RNA
Rfam family: Bacterial small subunit ribosomal RNA
Source: RNAcentral
AAUGAACGCUGGCGGCAGGCCUAAAACAUGCAAGUCGAACGGUAACAGGUCUUCGGAUGCUGACGAGUGGCGCACGGGUGAGUAACACGUGGGAAUAUGCCUUUUGGUACGGAACAACAGUUGGAAACGACUGCUAAUACCGUAUGGUCCCUUCGGGGUAAAGAUUUAUCGCCAAAAGAUUAGCCCGCGUUGGAUUAGCUAGUUGGUAGGGUAAUGGCCUACCAAGGCUACGAUCUAUAGCUGGUCUGAGAGGAUGAUCAGCCACACUGGAACUGAGACACGGUCCAGACUCCUACGGGAGGCAGCAGUUAGGAAUAUUGGACAAUGGGCGCAAGCCUGAUCCAGCCAUGCCGCGUGAGUGAUGAAGGCCUUCGGGUUGUAAAGCUCUUUAGCCGACGAAUAUAAUGACUGUAGUCGGAAAAUAAGCCCCGGCUAACUUCGUGCCAGCCGCCGCGGUAA